UGGGGAAUUUUGGACAAUGGGGGCAACCCUGAUCCAGCAAUGCCGCGUGUGUGAAGAAGGCCUUCGGGUUGUAAAGCACUUUUGUCCGGAAAGAAAACGCCGUGGUUAAUACCCGUGGCGGAUGACGGUACCGGAAGAAUAAGCACCGGCUAACUACGUGCCAGCAGCCGCGGUAAUACGUAGGGUGCAAGCGUUAAUCGGAAUUACUGGGCGUAAAGCGUGCGCAGGCGGUCCGCUAAGACAGAUGUGAAAUCCCCGGGCUUAACCUGGGAACUGCAUUUGUGACUGGCGGGCUAGAGUAUGGCAGAGGGGGGUAGAAUUCCACGUGUAGCAGUGAAAUGCGUAGAGAUGUGGAGGAAUACCGAUGGCGAAGGCAGCCCCCUGGGCCAAUACUGACGCUCAUGCACGAAAGCGUGGGGAGCAAACAGGGUUAGAUACCCUGGUAGUCCACGCCCUAAACGAUGUCAACUAGUUGUUGGGGAUUCAUUUUCCUUAGUAACGUAGCUAACGCGUGAAGUUGACCGCCUGGGGAGUACGGUCGCAAGAUUAAAAACUUAAAGGAAUUGACGGGGUCAUAGCUG
Molecule: ribosomal RNA, 581 nt
Filed under: uncultured bacterium
Lineage: Bacteria
Description: partial 16S ribosomal RNA
Rfam family: Bacterial small subunit ribosomal RNA
Source: RNAcentral